This 467-nucleotide ribosomal RNA is filed under the name uncultured bacterium. RNAcentral's name for it is "partial 16S ribosomal RNA". It matches the Rfam family "Bacterial small subunit ribosomal RNA", at positions 28 to 507 of the family's 1533-position model. The record is from RNAcentral.
GAUGAACGCUGGCGGCGUGCUUAACACAUGCAAGUCGAACGGAAAGGCCCAAGCUUGCUUGGGUACUCGAGUGGCGAACGGGUGAGUAACACGUGGGUGAUCUGCCCUGCACUUCGGGAUAAGCCUGGGAAACUGGGUCUAAUACCGGAUAGGACCACAUUUUGGAUGGUGUGGUGGAAAGUUUUUCGGUGUGGGAUGAGCUCGCGGCCUAUCAGCUUGUUGGUGGGGUAAUGGCCUACCAAGGCGUCGACGGGUAGCCGGCCUGUGAGGGUGUACGGCCACAUUGGGACUGAGAGACGGCCCAGACUCCGACGGGAGGCAGCAGUGGGGAAUAUUGCACAAUGGGCGCAAGCCUGAUGCAGCGACGCCGCGUGGGGGAUGACGGCCUUCGGGUUGUAAACUCCUUUCGCUAGGGACGAAGCGUUUUUGUGACGGUACCUGGAGAAGAAGCACCGGCUAACUACGUG